This 451-nucleotide ribosomal RNA is filed under the name uncultured bacterium. Its description in RNAcentral is "partial 16S ribosomal RNA". It matches the Rfam family "Bacterial small subunit ribosomal RNA", at positions 29 to 523 of the family's 1533-position model. The record is from RNAcentral.
AACGAACGCUGGCGGCAGGCCUAAUACAUGCAAGUCGAACGGAUGUAGCAAUACAUUAGUGGCGCACGGGUGCCUAACGCGUGGGAACAUACCCUUGAGUAAGGAAUAAUGUCUGGAAACGGACACUAAUACCUUAUAAUGACUUCGGUCCAAAGAUUCAUCGCUCGAGGAUUGGCCCGCGUCUGAUUAGCUAGUUGGUGAGGUAACGGCUCACCAAGGCGACGAUCAGUAGCUGGUCUGAGAGGAUGAUCAGCCACACUGGGACUGAGACACGGCCCAGACUCCUACGGGAGGCAGCAGUAAGGAAUAUUGGACAAUGGGGGAAACCCUGAUCCAGCCAUGCCGCGUGAGUGAAGAAGGCCUUAGGGUUGUAAAGCUCUUUCAAUAGUGAAGAUAAUGACGGUAGCUAUAGAAGAAGCCCCGGCUAAAUUCGUGCCAGCCGCCGCGGUAA